This 504-nucleotide long non-coding RNA is filed under the name Manihot esculenta (cassava). RNAcentral's name for it is "long non-coding RNA (MESC_LNC009430)". Lineage: Eukaryota; Viridiplantae; Streptophyta; Magnoliopsida; Malpighiales; Euphorbiaceae. The record is from RNAcentral.
UGUAGGGAGGAAUAGAGAUCGGUCUGGCACCGGGCAUCAACUCUAUCUCGAACUCUAUGUCCCUAUCAGGUGGUAGUCCUGGAAGCUCUUCAGGAAACACAUCUGGGAAUUCUCUAACAACUGGUACUGAGGAUGGUUCCCUAACCCGACUGUCUAGCUCUCUCACAUAAGCUAGGAACCCCUGACACCCCUUCGUCAACAUCCUACGAGCCUGGAGGGCUGAUAUCAAACCCCUAGGUGUCCCUCUCUUGUCUCCUCUGAAGACACACUCUGACCCAUCCUGGUCUCUGAGACUCACUACCUUGUCCUUGCAGUGCAAGGUAGCACUAUAGGUAGAUAACCAAUCCAUCCCUAGAAUGACAUCAAUAACUGUCAACUCUAGAACCACAAGGUCAGCUGGAAGGCAUCUAUCCUCUAUAAACACUGGACUGAAUUGACAGACUGACUCUGCCAAUGAUGGGUCACAUCUAGGUCCACUGACCCAGAGAGGACACUCUAACUCGG